GUCGCAAAUGCCAAUAAGCAAGGAGUUAUUAUUGAUGAGCGGAAAGCAUUUUCGUUUGGGAGUUUUUGGGAGUCUCACGGCGGGUUGGAGAUUGUGAAGGUGAUGGGGUAGUGACGGCGGAAUGUUUAUGAGGGGUUGUGUCGUUAGCGGUGGUGAGUGGUUGAUGGUCGAUUGAAGAAGAAAAAGGAGAUGGUGAUGGCUCUGUGUGUGGGAA
RNAcentral lists this long non-coding RNA (214 nucleotides) under Lathyrus oleraceus (garden pea). RNAcentral describes it as "Pisum sativum (pea) long non-coding RNA (PSAT_LNC005497)". The record is from RNAcentral. Lineage: Eukaryota; Viridiplantae; Streptophyta; Magnoliopsida; Fabales; Fabaceae.